RNAcentral lists this ribosomal RNA (148 nucleotides) under Colletotrichum gloeosporioides. Its description in RNAcentral is "5.8S ribosomal RNA". It matches the Rfam family "5.8S ribosomal RNA". Rfam says of the family: 5.8S ribosomal RNA (5.8S rRNA) is a component of the large subunit of the eukaryotic ribosome. It is transcribed by RNA polymerase I as part of the 45S precursor that also contains 18S and 28S rRNA. Lineage: Eukaryota; Fungi; Ascomycota; Sordariomycetes; Glomerellales; Glomerellaceae. The record is from RNAcentral.
CAAAACUUUUAACAACGGAUCUCUUGGUUCUGGCAUCGAUGAAGAACGCAGCGAAAUGAUCAAGUAAUAGUGGAAUUUGCAGAAUUCAGUGAAUCAUCGAAUCUUUGAACGCACAUUGCGCCCGCCAGCAUUCUGGCGGGCAUGCCUG